RNAcentral lists this ribosomal RNA (404 nucleotides) under Verrucomicrobiota bacterium. Its description in RNAcentral is "Verrucomicrobia bacterium partial 16S ribosomal RNA". It matches the Rfam family "Bacterial small subunit ribosomal RNA", at positions 355 to 776 of the family's 1533-position model. Lineage: Bacteria; Pseudomonadati; Verrucomicrobiota. The record is from RNAcentral.
UGGGGAAUAUUGCACAAUGGGGGAAACCCUGAUGCAGCGACGCCGCGUGAGCGAUGAAGGCUUUCGAGUCGUAAAGCUCUGUCCUAUGGGAAGAUAAUGACGGUACCAUAGAAGAAAGCCCCGGCUAAUUACGUGCCAGCAGCCGCGGUAAUACGUAAGGGGCGAGCGUUGUCCGGAAUUAUUGGGCGUAAAGAGUGCGUAGGCGGCAAAUUAAGUCAGAUGUGAAAACUAAGGGCUCAACCCAUAGAUUGCAUCUGAAACUGAUAUGCUUGAGUCAAGGAGAGGAAAGUGGAAUUCCUAGUGUAGCGGUGGAAUGCGUAGAUAUUAGGAGGAAUACCGGUGGCGAGGGCGACUUUCUGGACUUGAACUGACGCUGAGGCACGAAAGCGUGGGGAGCAAACAGG